Molecule: long non-coding RNA, 584 nt
Filed under: Panax ginseng (ginseng)
Lineage: Eukaryota; Viridiplantae; Streptophyta; Magnoliopsida; Apiales; Araliaceae
Description: long non-coding RNA (PGIN_LNC002822)
Source: RNAcentral
ACGAUCUUUUGACCAACGAGUCCCAGACCAUUAAAACCUUAGUGCGCUAGGUGUAAAGACAAUCCCCUCGGGCUUACUUACUCAAGUAACAAAGGCCACAAAACUAGACAAGCACGCCACGGUGUUUAUUCAUACUUUUUCUUUUCUUUUCUUUUCUUUUUUUUUUAUAUAGCUUAUAUACCCCAAAUAUUCCCCCAAACUUAGGUUCUUGUCUAACUUUUGUCAUCACUACUUAUUCUUGUCAUUCUGUCAUUCAGACUAGCAUUAUCCUUUAGAGUCCCAUUAUGUAUCAAUUUAAACUCAAUCAAUCAACAAGUUGUUUUUACUGUGCUAUCCUUAUUAUACUAGUUUCAAGUAGAAAAAGAUUCAAUUCAUAACAAGAAAUCAUAUCAAAGCUCUAAUAUUCAGUACUAUACUUGUCUACCCAAUUCCAAUCUCAUCAUUAGCCAAAACAAACUGUAAAUAUCAAACAGCUGGACUCAUGCAAGAUGUACUAAAUGCUAUAUAAACAUAGUAAACUAACUACUAUUUCUGAAAGUUUUCAAUUUUUUAAAUUUUUUUAAAUUCUUUUAUUUUAAACAAAA